AAACUUUCAACAACGGAUCUCUUGGUUCUGGCAUCCAUGAAGAACGCAGC
Molecule: ribosomal RNA, 50 nt
Filed under: Pyricularia grisea
Lineage: Eukaryota; Fungi; Ascomycota; Sordariomycetes; Magnaporthales; Pyriculariaceae
Description: partial 5.8S ribosomal RNA
Rfam family: 5.8S ribosomal RNA
About the family: 5.8S ribosomal RNA (5.8S rRNA) is a component of the large subunit of the eukaryotic ribosome. It is transcribed by RNA polymerase I as part of the 45S precursor that also contains 18S and 28S rRNA.
Source: RNAcentral